ACGACGCUGGCGGCAUGCUUUACACAUGCAAGUCGAACGGCAGCACGGGUGCUUGCACCUGGUGGCGAGUGGCGAACGGGUGAGUAAUGCAUCGGAACGUGCCUAUUAGUGGGGGAUAACGCUUCGAAAGGAGUGCUAAUACCGCAUAAUCUCUGAGGAGGAAAGCAGGGGACCUUCGGGCCUUGCGCUGAUAGAGCGGCCGAUGUCGGAUUAGCUAGUUGGUGAGGUAAAGGCUCACCAAGGCGACGAUCCGUAGCGGGUCUGAGAGGAUGAUCCGCCACACUGGGACUGAGACACGGCCCAGACUCCUACGGGAGGCAGCAGUGGGGAAUUUUGGACAAUGGGCGCAAGCCUGAUCCAGCCAUGCCGCGUGAGUGAAGAAGGCCUUCGGGUUGUAAAGCUCUUUUGUCCGGGAGCAAGUCCUACUGGCUAAUAUCUGGUGGGGAUGAGAGUACUGGAAGAAUAAGCACCGGCUAACUACGUG
This 484-nucleotide ribosomal RNA is filed under the name uncultured bacterium. Its description in RNAcentral is "bacterial SSU rRNA". It matches the Rfam family "Bacterial small subunit ribosomal RNA", at positions 33 to 507 of the family's 1533-position model. The record is from RNAcentral.